RNAcentral lists this ribosomal RNA (455 nucleotides) under uncultured bacterium. RNAcentral describes it as "SSU rRNA". It matches the Rfam family "Bacterial small subunit ribosomal RNA", at positions 26 to 517 of the family's 1533-position model. The record is from RNAcentral.
AGAACGAACGCUGGCGGCAUGCCUAACACAUGCAAGUCGAACGUGAUCCAGGCUUCGGCCUGGUGAAAGUGGCAGACGGGUGAGUAACGCGUGGGAACCUGCCCUGUGGUAGGGAAUAACCGUGGGAAACUGCGGCUAAUACCCUAUGAGUCCUUCGGGAGAAAGAUUUAUCGCCAUAGGAGGGGCCCGCGUCGGAUUAGGUAGUUGGUGGGGUAACGGCCUACCAAGCCUUCGAUCCGUAGCUGGUCUGAGAGGAUGAUCAGCCACACUGGGACUGAGAUACGGCCCAGACUCCUACGGGAGGCAGCAGUGGGGAAUAUUGGACAAUGGGGGCAACCCUGAUCCAGCAAUGCCGCGUGGAUGAUGAAGGCCUUCGGGUUGUAAAGUCCUUUCGGCGGGGAAGAUGAUGACGGUACCCGCAGAAGAAGCCCCGGCUAACUUCGUGCCAGCAGCCG